AUGUGUCACUCGCCGUCGGGAUCACGCGCGACGGCGCGGUCGGGCAGGGUGGAGGAAUUCGCCGACGCGGCAACGGAGGAAGGCGGCGAGUCCAAACUCUCCGCGCUCCUCUACGACGUGUCGCAGCAGGUCCAGGACAGCCUCCAGAGCAUGCUGAAGAUGACGGGCGAGAUCGAGCAGUGCAGUGACGAGAUCGAGGUGGAGAUCGAGCAGGCCAAGGAGGGCGUGGCUGACAAGUACAGGGUGCUCGAGGAGGAGAAGGAAAGGUUCCAGAAGGUGGCCCUCGCGGCGCUCAACAUCCUGAGCGGUGGCAUCUGA
Molecule: ribosomal RNA, 318 nt
Filed under: Triticum aestivum (bread wheat)
Lineage: Eukaryota; Viridiplantae; Streptophyta; Magnoliopsida; Poales; Poaceae
Description: partial small subunit ribosomal RNA
Source: RNAcentral